This 768-nucleotide ribosomal RNA is filed under the name Klebsiella oxytoca. RNAcentral's name for it is "bacterial SSU rRNA". It matches the Rfam family "Bacterial small subunit ribosomal RNA", at positions 56 to 813 of the family's 1533-position model. The record is from RNAcentral. Lineage: Bacteria; Pseudomonadati; Pseudomonadota; Gammaproteobacteria; Enterobacterales; Enterobacteriaceae.
UGCAGUCGAACGGUAGCACAGAGAGCUUGCUCUCGGGUGACGAGUGGCGGACGGGUGAGUAAUGUCUGGGAAACUGCCUGAUGGAGGGGGAUAACUACUGGAAACGGUAGCUAAUACCGCAUAACGUCGCAAGACCAAAGAGGGGGACCUUCGGGCCUCUUGCCAUCAGAUGUGCCCAGAUGGGAUUAGCUAGUAGGUGGGGUAACGGCUCACCUAGGCGACGAUCCCUAGCUGGUCUGAGAGGAUGACCAGCCACACUGGAACUGAGACACGGUCCAGACUCCUACGGGAGGCAGCAGUGGGGAAUAUUGCACAAUGGGCGCAAGCCUGAUGCAGCCAUGCCGCGUGUAUGAAGAAGGCCUUCGGGUUGUAAAGUACUUUCAGCGGGGAGGAAGGGGAUAAGGUUAAUAACCUUGUUCAUUGACGUUACCCGCAGAAGAAGCACCGGCUAACUCCGUGCCAGCAGCCGCGGUAAUACGGAGGGUGCAAGCGUUAAUCGGAAUUACUGGGCGUAAAGCGCACGCAGGCGGUCUGUCAAGUCGGAUGUGAAAUCCCCGGGCUCAACCUGGGAACUGCAUUCGAAACUGGCAGGCUGGAGUCUUGUAGAGGGGGGUAGAAUUCCAGGUGUAGCGGUGAAAUGCGUAGAGAUCUGGAGGAAUACCGGUGGCGAAGGCGGCCCCCUGGGACAAAGACUGACGCUCACGUGCGAAAGCGUGGGGAGCAAACAGGGAUUAGAUAUCCUGGGUAGUCCACGCUGUAAACGAUGUC